UGGUUUGAUUCUGGCUCAGGAUGAACGCUGGCGGCAUGCCUAAUACAUGCAAGUCGAACGGAGUGAAGCCUUCGGGUUUCAUUCAGUGGCGAACGGGUGAGUAAUACGCAGGGAACCUGGCCAUGGCAGGGGGAUACACUCUGGAAACGGAGCAUAAGACCCCAUAGGCAGUAAGGCGGCAUCGCCUUACUGUUAAAGAAAGCUGAAAGGCUUUGGCGAUGGAUGGACCUGCGGUGCAUUAGCUUGUUGGUGAGGCAACGGCUUACCAAGGCGAUGAUGCAUAGCCGGCCUGAGAGGGCGGACGGCCACACUGGGACUGAGACACGGCCCAGACUCCUGCGGGAGGCAGCAGUAGGGAAUUUUCGUCAAUGGGCGCAAGCCUGAACGAGCAAUGCCGCGUGAGUGAGGAAGGUCUUCGGACUGUAAAGCUCUGUUGCCGGGGAAAAAGGGGAAAUGCAGGAAAUGGCAUUUCAUGGAUGGUACCCGGCCAGAAAGCCACGGCUAACUACGUGCCAGCAGCCGCGGUAAUACGUAGGUGGCGAGCGUUAUCCGGAAUGAUUGGGCGUAAAGGGUGCGCAGGCGGUCUGUUAAGUCGGAAGGCAAAGGGAUGAGCUCAACUCAUUUAUGAUUCAGAAACUGGCAGACUUGAGGACAGGAGAGGGCGGUGGAACUCCAUGUGUAGCGGUAAAAUGCGCAGAGAUAUGGAAGAACACCAGUGGCGAAGGCGGCCGCCUGGCCUGUGACUGACGCUGAGGCACGAAAGCGUGGGGAGCAAAUAGGAUUAGAUACCCUAGUAGUCCACGCCGUAAACGAUGAGGAGCAGGUGUUGGGAGUGAAAUCUCAGUGCCGAAGCCAACGCAGUGACUCCUCCGCCUGGGGAGUAUGCACGCAAGUGUGAAACUCAAAGGAAUUGACGGGGGCCCGCACAAGCGGUGGAGUAUGUGGUUUAAUUCGAAGCAACGCGAAGAACCUUACCAGGUUUUGACAUCGGAUGCGAAGGUGCAGAGAUGCGCUGGAGGUUAACAUCCAGACAGGUGGUGCAUGGUUGUCGUCAGCUCGUGUCGUGAGAUGUUCAGUUAAGUCUGGCAACGAGCGCAACCCCCGUGGUAUGUUACUAACGCUUAGGGCGAGGACUCAUAUCAGACUGCCGGUGACAAACCGGAGGAAGGCGGGGAUGACGUCAAAUCAUCAUGCCCCUUAUGACCUGGGCUACACACGUACUACAAUGGCGUCUACAGAGGGAAGCGACCCUGAGAAGGGAAGCGAAACCGGAAAAGGGCGUCCCAGUUCGGAUUGAAGUCUGCAACCCGACUUCAUGAAGAUGGAAUCGCUAGUAAUCGCGGAUCAGCAUGCCGCGGUGAAUACGUUCCCGGGCCUUGUACACACCGCCCGUCAAACCAUGGAAGCCGGCAACGCCCGAAGCCGGUGGCAUAACCUUUUAGGAGUGAGCCGUCGAAGGCGGGGCCGAUGACUGGGGUUAAGUCGUAACAAGGUAACC
This 1498-nucleotide ribosomal RNA is filed under the name uncultured bacterium. Its description in RNAcentral is "bacterial SSU rRNA". It matches the Rfam family "Bacterial small subunit ribosomal RNA". The record is from RNAcentral.